GUGCUGUAUUGUCUUGCUAUUUUACAUGGUGAUAGCAAUUCUGCACCUCUCUUCUGAAGUGUGUGUAGCUUUAACCUAAGCCAGGCUACUGCCAAUUACCCGAAGUUGCACCUAUUUUUACGAAUGUUACAAUAAUUUUCGUUUCAUAUUUGGUGUGCAUCUACAUUUCAGCAAGCACAUGCCUCGUCCUGUAUCUGACACACA
This 204-nucleotide long non-coding RNA is filed under the name Nicotiana benthamiana. RNAcentral's name for it is "long non-coding RNA (NBEN_LNC042444)". The record is from RNAcentral. Lineage: Eukaryota; Viridiplantae; Streptophyta; Magnoliopsida; Solanales; Solanaceae.